Long non-coding RNA from Diabrotica virgifera virgifera (western corn rootworm), 833 nucleotides. RefSeq lists it as uncharacterized. The transcript has 2 exons. Lineage: Eukaryota; Metazoa; Arthropoda; Insecta; Coleoptera; Chrysomelidae. The record is from RefSeq and is a predicted model, not a curated record.
CGCACGUGAAGGUCGACGUGAACAACGAUUGACACAACCGCCAGUGCCCGUAAGAUUAUCAUUGUGUACAGUUCGGUCCAGUAAUAAUAGUCAAGAAGAAUAGCAGAAAUUAAAAAUAAUGGUCUUACUAAAUGAAAAUAAGCCAUCUACCGAAAUAGCACAAAAUGAUAUACAGACUGGCAAUAAUUCCCCUAUAUUCCUCUUAGAGGUUUAUGACAUUUAUAAUGCCAACAAUGCAGAAGCUUUUAGCAAUGACAUUAUCAUCUUUGAGGAACCACCAGACGUUGCAGCAGAAGAAGAAAUAUUUAGUCACGAUCUCACAUCAUGUUUCAACUUAGCAACAGAAUUAUUAAACCAGAGUAUCAUGCAGAAUAUUUAUCUCUUAAAAUGAACAACAUAGUUCCAGAUCAACUGGAUGAAACAGAGAUGUAAAAGAUGAAACGGAGUGAAUUUUUUUUUAAAAUGUUUAAAAGUUAAAAGUCGGUAAAUAUUUUUCUGUUAUUUUUCUGUUUUUUUUUUACUAACUUUUAUUUUGAACUAUAUAAAAGAAGUAAAUCUUAUGUUAUUUUUGUGAAUAAUUAUUUUCUUAUUUGUUUUUGAAACUAAAAAAUAACUAUUUUUAUGUACCUCUGAGUUUUGUGUUUUCUUAGUUUUUAAGUUGUUGUUCUUUGAAAGUGUUUUUUGAGUUUUAUUUUUAUACCAAUUUUUGUAUAGCUCUUCUAUUUGAGUAUUAUUUACUUUUAAGUAUUUCAUCCUAGCACCAAAAACAUGUUUAAAGAAUUUAGGGCUUAGAAUGUAUUUUUGAUUAAUAAAAAAUAAAACCUAUCAAAAAU